GUGGGGAAUAUUGCACAAUGGGCGAAAGCCUGAUGCAGCAACGCCGCGUGAGCGAUGAAGGCCUUUGGGUCGUAAAGCUCUGUCCUGGGGGAAGAAAAAAAUGACGGUACCCUAGGAGGAAGCCCCGGCUAACUACGUGCCAGCAGCCGCGGUAAUACGUAGGGGGCAAGCGUUAUCCGGAAUUAUUGGGCGUAAAGAGUGCGUAGGUGGUCUUGUAAGCGCGGGGUGAAAGGCUAUGGCUUAACCAUAGUAAGCCUUGCGAACUGUGAGACUUGAGUGCAGGAGAGGAAAGCGGAAUUCCUAGUGUAGCGGUGAAAUGCGUAGAUAUUAGGAGGAACACCAGUGGCGAAGGCGGCUUUCUGGACUGUAACUGACACUGAGGCACGAAAGCGUGGGGAGCAAACAGGAUUAGAUACCCCUGUAGUCC
This 427-nucleotide ribosomal RNA is filed under the name uncultured bacterium. RNAcentral's name for it is "partial 16S ribosomal RNA". It matches the Rfam family "Bacterial small subunit ribosomal RNA", at positions 354 to 796 of the family's 1533-position model. The record is from RNAcentral.